GACGAACGCUGGCGGCGUGCUUAACACAUGCAAGUCGAGCGGGGUCCAUCCGGUGGCAACACCGGUGAAGACCUAGCGGCGAACGGGUGAGUAACACGUGAGCAACCUGCCCCGAAGUCUGGGAUAACACCGGGAAACCGGUGCUAAUACUGGAUACCCCCAUCUGGUCGCAUGGCCGGAUGAGGAAAGAUUUAUCGCUUUGGGAGGGGCUCGCGGGCUAUCAGCUUGUUGGUGGGGAACGGCCUACCAAGGCGACGACGGCUAGCUGGUCUGAGAGGACGACCAGCCACACUGGGACUGAGACACGGCCCAGACUCCUACGGGAGGCAGCAGUGGGGAAUCUUGCGCAAUGGGCGAAAGCCUGACGCAGCAACGCCGCGUGGGGGAGUGAAUGUCUUCGGAUUUCGUAAACCCCUUUCAGCAGGGACGAAACUGACGGUACCUGCAGAAGAAGCCCCGGCCAACUACGUGCCAGCAGCCGCGGUAAC
This 488-nucleotide ribosomal RNA is filed under the name uncultured bacterium. Its description in RNAcentral is "bacterial SSU rRNA". It matches the Rfam family "Bacterial small subunit ribosomal RNA", at positions 28 to 524 of the family's 1533-position model. The record is from RNAcentral.